GUGCUCGCUUUGGCAGCACGUGUACUAAAAUUGGAAGGAUACAGAGAUUAACGUGCCCCCCGUGCAAGGAUGACAUGAAAAUCCCUGAAGCGUUCCGUAUUUCU
This 104-nucleotide small nuclear RNA is filed under the name Ursus maritimus (polar bear). The record is from RNAcentral. Lineage: Eukaryota; Metazoa; Chordata; Mammalia; Carnivora; Ursidae.